UGCGAUCAUACCGGCAUAAUGCCGGAUCCCAGUGAGAACUGCAGUUAAGCGUGCUUGGGCGAGAGUAGUACUAGGAUAGGUGACCCCCUGGGAAGUCCACGUGUUGCAC
Non-coding RNA from Rhododendron molle, 109 nucleotides. Lineage: Eukaryota; Viridiplantae; Streptophyta; Magnoliopsida; Ericales; Ericaceae. The record is from the annotation of a GenBank genome assembly.